RNAcentral lists this small RNA (563 nucleotides) under Pongo abelii (Sumatran orangutan). Its description in RNAcentral is "retained intron". The record is from RNAcentral. Lineage: Eukaryota; Metazoa; Chordata; Mammalia; Primates; Hominidae.
GAGAGAGAGGUCCAAGGUGCCCUACAUCAUGCGCCAGUGUGUGGAGAUCGAGCGCCGAGGCAUGGAGGAGGUGGGCAUCUACCGCGUGUCCGGAGUGGCCGCAGACAUCCAGGCACUGAAGGCAGCCUUCGACGUCAGUGAGUGUCGGCCUGCGCAGGACGGGAUGGAGGUGUGGGCAGUGGUGUCCGCGAUGAGACCUCAGAGCGCUCCAUGGCCCAGGCAUGUCACAUCCUUCUCUGUGUCUUUUCUUCAUUUACUGUUUUAUUAUUUUUAAAAAAGAGAAAACAAGAGUUGUACAAACAGCUUCUAUAGAAGCCAGUUUUUCCACCUCCAUCUCACCAACCCUCACAGGCUUUGAAGGACCUGGAUGUGCCUCAAAUGCCAGGUGAGGGCACUGAGACCCCAGAGGGUCCUUCCCAGCAUCUUCAAAGCAACAGGAUUUUGUGCCUGCAGACCCUUCUUUGCAGCACACACCACCCACCCUGACCAGGACCCCUAGAAUGCCCAGCAUCCCUGGGAGGGCCCUGUGGUAGUUUCAGCUCCCUCUGGGGGCCCAGAAUGGA